GUGGGGUGCAGUGGCGCACGCUUGUAAUCCCAGCAACCUAGGAGGCUGGGGCAGGAGGAUCGCAAGUUGAGGCCAGCCUCAACUACUCAGUGAGACCCUGUCUCAA
RNAcentral lists this small RNA (106 nucleotides) under Marmota monax (woodchuck). The record is from RNAcentral. Lineage: Eukaryota; Metazoa; Chordata; Mammalia; Rodentia; Sciuridae.